GUCUGAUGUGAAAUCUCCAAGCUCAACUUGGAAACUGCAUCGGAUACUAUCCGGCUCGAGGAAUGGAGGGGAGACUGGAAUACUUGGUGUAGCAGUGAAAUGCGUAGAUAUCAAGUGGAACACCAGUGGCGAAGGCGAGUCUCUGGACAUUUCCUGACGCUGAGGCACGAAAGCCAGGGGAGCAAACGGG
Molecule: ribosomal RNA, 190 nt
Filed under: uncultured bacterium
Lineage: Bacteria
Description: partial 16S ribosomal RNA
Rfam family: Bacterial small subunit ribosomal RNA
Source: RNAcentral